RNAcentral lists this ribosomal RNA (520 nucleotides) under uncultured Glomus. RNAcentral's name for it is "SSU rRNA". It matches the Rfam family "Eukaryotic small subunit ribosomal RNA", at positions 569 to 1088 of the family's 1831-position model. Lineage: Eukaryota; Fungi; Glomeromycota; Glomeromycetes; Glomerales; Glomeraceae. The record is from RNAcentral.
AGCAGCCGCGGUAAUUCCAGCUCCAAUAGCGUAUAUUAAAGUUGUUGCAGUUAAAAAGCUCGUAGUUGAAUUUCGGGAUCAAUGCGUCGGUCGUGCUUUCGGGUACGUACUGGUGUCAUUGGUUUCUCCUUUCUGACGAGCCGUGAUGUCAUUAAUUUGGUGUUACGGGUAGUUAGGACUGUUACUUUGAAAAAAUUAGAGUGUUUAAAGCAGGCAUUCGCUUGAAUACAUUAGCAUGGAAUAAUGAAAUAGGACGUUCGACCCUAUUUUGUUGGUUUCUAGGAUCAACGUAAUGAUUAAUAGGGAUAGUUGGGGGCAUUAGUAUUCAAUUGUCAGAGGUGAAAUUCUUGGAUUUAUUGAAGACUAACUACUGCGAAAGCAUUUGCCAAGGAUGUUUUCAUUAAUCAAGAACGAAAGUUAGGGAUCGAAGACGAUCAGAUACCGUCGUAGUCUUAACCAUAAACUAUGCCGACUAGGGAUCGGAUGAUGUUAAUUUUUUAAUGUACUUCAUUCGGCGCCU